UACAGAGGGUGCAAGCGUUGUUCGGAAUUAUUGGGCGUAGAGGGAGUGUAGGCGGUUUGGAAAGUCUUCUGUGAAAUCUACGGGCUUAGCCUGUAACGUGCAGAGGAAACUUCCAGGCUUGAGUGUCGGAGAGGAUAGGGGAAUUCCCGGUGUAGAGGUGAAAUUCGUAGAGAUCGGGAGGAACACCAGUGGCGAAGGCGCCUAUCUGGCUGACAACUGACGCUGAGACUCGAAAGCAUGGGGAGCAAACGGG
Molecule: ribosomal RNA, 253 nt
Filed under: uncultured bacterium
Lineage: Bacteria
Description: partial 16S ribosomal RNA
Rfam family: Bacterial small subunit ribosomal RNA
Source: RNAcentral